UCGUCUGUUUAUCGCUAUUUAACAGAUGUUUUUUCACUGUUUACAUUCACAGCACAGUUUCCGUUUCAGGAGGUCGUCCCGAGUUGAGACGUUUUGUGGUCUCUUAUUCAUGCCGACAAUAAACGCCCCGCGAGACGCACGCGACCCACCGCGGCGGCGCUGAGUCCGGGCUGAGUCACCGGAGCGCACCAGAGCGCACCGGGCUGCGGCACCGGGUCGGGCUGCUCCGCCGCUGAGCUGUCUAUUCCUGGGCCGUAUAUAAGGAGCGGAGCAGAGCAUCACCGAGCUCCAUCAGCAUCCACCCAGUUCUUAAUAUCUGACCUGAACAGGGACUGUAAUGUGUCUGACACUCCAAGAAAUCCCUUAUGAAGAUAUUUUUUGGGGCGUUUUUGCCUUUAAUCGACAGGACAGCUCAGCAUGAAGGGGGGAGAGAGAGAAGGAAUGACAUGCAGCAAAGUGAUGACUGAGGAGAAAUCUGGACCCUGUGGCUGAACCAGGAAAUACAGAAGAAGUCGUGGAAGACAAAAAAGAAAAUCAAACAUGCUAGACUUCCUGUUAGGAUGUCAUGAGGGGAGGAUUAGUGUUUCUGAGACACCUCACUUCCCCACCAAGCAGCAACCUCCAGGGAUAAAAGAAAACGCAGCCAACACAGAAGUGCCAAAUCCUGCAGUCCUCUGAACGACCACUUGAGGUUGACUCCAACAACGAGUCAAUCCCCAUAUUCCUCCAUGUUAAAAUGUCCAACU
Epinephelus fuscoguttatus (brown-marbled grouper) is the source of this 746-nucleotide long non-coding RNA. RefSeq lists it as uncharacterized. The transcript has 3 exons. Lineage: Eukaryota; Metazoa; Chordata; Actinopteri; Perciformes; Serranidae. The record is from RefSeq and is a predicted model, not a curated record.